RNAcentral lists this transfer RNA (74 nucleotides) under Haplopteris elongata. Its description in RNAcentral is "tRNA-Pro". It matches the Rfam family "tRNA". Rfam says of the family: Transfer RNA (tRNA) molecules are approximately 80 nucleotides in length. Their secondary structure includes four short double-helical elements and three loops (D, anti-codon, and T loops). Lineage: Eukaryota; Viridiplantae; Streptophyta; Polypodiopsida; Polypodiales; Pteridaceae. The record is from RNAcentral.
CGGAAUAUAGCGCAGUUUGGUAGCGCUCCAUCUUGGGGUGAUGGAGGUCGCAGGUUCAAAUCCUGUUAUUCCGA